Molecule: ribosomal RNA, 468 nt
Filed under: uncultured bacterium
Lineage: Bacteria
Description: partial 16S ribosomal RNA
Rfam family: Bacterial small subunit ribosomal RNA
Source: RNAcentral
GACGAACGCUGGCGGCGUGCUUAACACAUGCAAGUCGAACGGAAAGGCCCUGCUUUUGUGGGGUGCUCGAGUGGCGAACGGGUGAGUAACACGUGAGUAACCUGCCCUUGACUUUGGGAUAACUUCAGGAAACUGGGGCUAAUACCGGAUAGGAGCUCCUGCUGCAUGGUGGGGGUUGGAAAGUUUCGGCGGUUGGGGAUGGACUCGCGGCUUAUCAGCUUGUUGGUGGGGUAGUGGCUUACCAAGGCUUUGGCGGGUAGCCGGCCUGAGAGGGUGACCGGCCACAUUGGGACUGAGAUACGGCCCAGACUCCUACGGGAGGCAGCAGUGGGGAAUAUUGCACAAUGGGCGGAAGCCUGAUGCAGCAACGCCGCGUGCGGGAUGACGGCCUUCGGGUUAUAAACCGCUUUCGCCUGUGACGAAGCGUGAGUGACGGUAAUGGGUAAAGAAGCACCGGCUAACUACGUG